This is a long non-coding RNA of Sinocyclocheilus anshuiensis, 139 nucleotides long. RefSeq lists it as uncharacterized. Lineage: Eukaryota; Metazoa; Chordata; Actinopteri; Cypriniformes; Cyprinidae. The record is from RefSeq and is a predicted model, not a curated record. The transcript has 3 exons.
UUUCUCCCUUUAAUCUCCUCCAGUGGUUUUGUAUUCUCAACAGACACAAUAACUUUUAAUUCAGAUGGAGGAGAGUAAAGGGAGAAAUCAAGCUCAACUUUAAAACUAGAUGUAUUUUAGUUUAGGAUUGAUUUUUAUU